Molecule: ribosomal RNA, 253 nt
Filed under: uncultured organism
Description: partial 16S ribosomal RNA
Rfam family: Bacterial small subunit ribosomal RNA
Source: RNAcentral
GACGUAGGAUGCAAGCGUUGUCCGGAUUUAUUGGGCGUAAAGAGUUCGUAGGCGGUUUAUUAAGUUUGAUGUUAAAUACUGAGGCUCAACCUCGGAACUGCAUUGAAUACUGGUAGACUUGAGUACAGUAGAGGUAAGUGGAAUUCCCAGUGUAGCGGUGAAAUGCGUAGAUAUUGGGAAGAACACCGGUGGCGUAAGCGACUUACUGGGCUGUAACUGACGCUGAGGAACGAAAGCCAGGGGAGCAAAUGGG